UAAAGACAGGAACAGAUAAAAUAAUUCAGUAAUCAGUAGUGAAUAUUAUGUAUUUUAAAUUAUAAUGGAAAACCAUGCAUAUUAUUACCUAAGAUUUUAUAGAUUUAAAUAAGGUUUCAUUGUAACUUGAUUUUGGAAAAAGUCAUCAUUAGAUAAUAAUGCAAAUAACUAAUAUAUAUAUAUUUGUUAUGAUUAAUGUUGUAAAAUUGAUAAAUGUAUAUUUAUACUUUUAGAUUUUGAGUAGAGCAAGGAAUGUAUUGGUUUUACAAUGUUUUUUAUUUUUUUUUUGUGGAUAACUCGUUUAAUGAAAAUUACUCUGAUUUACAAUAAUAGCACUUUAUCUGAAAGAAAAUAUGAUUAAAUGGUAUUUUAGAAAGGUUAUUUUUUGAUUUUCCCAAGAGUUUUCAAAAAACAUGGGAAAAAACAGGAUAAUAGGUACAAUAUAAAGCAAAUAUUAUUAAAGAAAAUGUAUAAUGCAUAUGUUAUUAUUUUGCCAUAAUAGUCAUAUAUAUUUUUAUUUAAUUUUAUUAUAUUAUUGACAAAGCAACACUAUCAACUGAACUCCGCUCAGAAUUGUUUUUUGUUAUCAAUUUUCAUUGUUAGCAAUUUAUCAUUGCUUAUAUUAAAUUUCCCCUCUACUACCUUCCUAACUUCUCACUUAUAAAAGUAGCUGCAUGAAUCCUCAUUAUUCUAGGACAACUUUUUGUAUAUGAAAAUUGUAUAUUGAAUAAUUUUGUGUUGUUAGUUUU
Cinara cedri is the source of this 749-nucleotide non-coding RNA. NCBI's taxonomy places the organism in Eukaryota, Metazoa, Arthropoda, Insecta, Hemiptera, Aphididae. The record is from the annotation of a GenBank genome assembly.